Non-coding RNA from Vicugna pacos (alpaca), 717 nucleotides. Lineage: Eukaryota; Metazoa; Chordata; Mammalia; Artiodactyla; Camelidae. The record is from RefSeq and is a predicted model, not a curated record.
CCUGCUUCAUGCCUUCUAGCCAAAGUCGUGGUUCUGAGUACAAGGAUCAGGUUGCUUGGACUUGAACCCCAGCUUUGCCUCCCUCUCCUGCUCAGUGACUCAAACCACCAAGGAGGGGCUGUAACCCAGUCUGGAGAGAAGUUCGGGACAUUUUCCUGAGGCAGCGCCUCCGGGGCACCAUCCAUUGGGAGAGGGUGCCUCCCCUGCUGACCUGUGAAGCCAGACGGGCAGAGGCAAAGGAAAGCUCCUGGGAGAUCGAGGCAGCUGGCUCCAGCAGGGCAUGGGCCGCUCAGACACUCGUCCACCUCCGCCUGACAGCGCGGGCCUCCAAAGCCUGUGGCACAACAGGAGGGCCAGGGCUGCACGGACUCUGCCCCUGCCCUCUCUCUCCUCCAGUGUUUGAGCCCCAGUUUACCUGGGAGACACUCGCAGUGGAAGGAUCCAGGCUGGUCCCGGCACUGCCCACCGUUAGCACAGGGAGAGCUUCUGCACUCGUCUAUGUCCUCCUCACACCGCGGGCCGGUGAAUCCUGGUGGGGUGGGGAGCCGGGGGGAGGAGAGGUGGCAAAGGUCUUUUUUUUUUCUGUAGAUUUAUUAGAGAGUUUGUUACAAGUGUUUGAGCUUUAUAGGCAUGAUUUCAUGGAUUCAAACAAGAAAUUGAGAGUUAACACUGCUGUUAGUCUUCUCUUGGCAAAUAUAGAAACAACAUCGCUACAAA